Long non-coding RNA from Nomia melanderi (Alkali bee), 611 nucleotides. RefSeq lists it as uncharacterized. The record is from RefSeq and is a predicted model, not a curated record. NCBI's taxonomy places the organism in Eukaryota, Metazoa, Arthropoda, Insecta, Hymenoptera, Halictidae.
UGGCCGUCUUGCUGGGCAGCGACCGAUCGAUAAACAACGUCGAUUCCAUUCUCCUUAAGCGUUUGAGUGGCAAGCAGCGCGAUCGCGCUUCUCCGGUGCACUGGCUAAAAGUGUCACUCUAUCGAAAUGGAAAAGUAGGAUCCGAAGAAAAUAUCGAAUUAAAUCUUUUCCUAUGCCGCUCUGUUCGUAAGAUAAUUAAACCUGUAAACGUUCAUACAUCAUACACAAGCAUUUGUCUUCACACUAAGUAGAAACUGACAGCGACGAAUGGUUAAGGACAGAGAGUAUCAGAAAAGGACAAUCGAUACCGCGUUCCUCUACUCUCUCAUGCAAGAUUCAACAGCGAUUUACAAGAAAAUUAUUCAUUUUUUACCCAUGGUUUCCUUGGGACUACGUGUCUUCACGUUUCCAACAGUUGCACACGGUCAUCCGCAUUCGUCGCAUGAUCCAGACUCGAGAUUUCUGCGUGCCAGUUUCUGCCAUUGACUCACAGAACAAUGCUGCUGUACCUUACCGUUGGCAGAGACUCACACCAUAGUCAAGAUAUAUUUUGACCAUUCUUUUAAUUAAAUUUUUCUUUACGCUUCGGCUUAGAGUAGAAUCUCUGCGAU